Molecule: transfer RNA, 72 nt
Filed under: Bos taurus (domestic cattle)
Lineage: Eukaryota; Metazoa; Chordata; Mammalia; Artiodactyla; Bovidae
Also listed under: 4 other names
Rfam family: tRNA
About the family: Transfer RNA (tRNA) molecules are approximately 80 nucleotides in length. Their secondary structure includes four short double-helical elements and three loops (D, anti-codon, and T loops).
Source: Rfam by way of RNAcentral
UCCCUUGUAGCUCAGUUGGUAAAGAGUCUGCCUGCAAUGCAGGAGACCCGGGUUCAAUCCCUGGGUCAGGAA